Molecule: unclassified non-coding RNA, 295 nt
Filed under: Paraglomerales sp.
Lineage: Eukaryota; Fungi; Glomeromycota; Glomeromycetes; Paraglomerales
Description: partial contains 5.8S ribosomal RNA and internal transcribed spacer 2
Rfam family: 5.8S ribosomal RNA (bases 1-65)
Source: RNAcentral
GUGAAUCAUCGAAUCUUUGAACGCAAAUUGCACUCUCUUCGGAGAGUAUGCCUGUUUGAGGGCACCAUUUAGCAGAUAAUGUGCAGCGUUUUUUGUUGCACACGUUGAUGAGCUUUCCAAGAAUUUUAAAUUUUUGGUGGCUCAUAAUGAACAGCGUGAAAGUUUUUUUCAGUUCUAGUGUAUUAAAAUCUUUGCUUGGGUUGUGAAAAAACAUAAUCGCUCAAUGGGUGUGGCAAUUUCUUUUUAUCCCUGCCCCAAUGCCACUCGUUCUUACGAAAGAAUGUCUACUUUGCAG